RNAcentral lists this transfer RNA (68 nucleotides) under Toxocara canis (dog roundworm). It matches the Rfam family "tRNA". Rfam says of the family: Transfer RNA (tRNA) molecules are approximately 80 nucleotides in length. Their secondary structure includes four short double-helical elements and three loops (D, anti-codon, and T loops). Further hydrogen bonds mediate the characteristic L-shaped molecular structure. tRNAs have two regions of fundamental functional importance: the anti-codon, which is responsible for specific mRNA codon recognition, and the 3' end, to which the tRNAs corresponding amino acid is attached (by aminoacyl-tRNA synthetases). tRNAs cope with the degeneracy of the genetic code in two manners: having more than one tRNA (with a specific anti-codon) for a particular amino acid; and 'wobble' base-pairing, i.e. permitting non-standard base-pairing at the 3rd anti-codon position. The record is from Rfam by way of RNAcentral. Lineage: Eukaryota; Metazoa; Nematoda; Chromadorea; Rhabditida; Toxocaridae.
GCGGCAAUAGCUCAGUGGUAGAGCCCCGCUUCCCAUGCGGGGAGACCUGGGUUCGUUUCCCGGCCGCU